This 1326-nucleotide long non-coding RNA is filed under the name Triticum aestivum (bread wheat). Its description in RNAcentral is "long non-coding RNA (TAES_LNC020440)". Lineage: Eukaryota; Viridiplantae; Streptophyta; Magnoliopsida; Poales; Poaceae. The record is from RNAcentral.
GGAAUGUUUUCUUACUGCAAUGGUAAGCUAUUCUGAAUCCAUCUCAUAAUGUGGCUGCUCAUGUUUGGUGCAGUUGUAGCGCAUGGCAUGGCGAUGGUGGAGGAGAUAAAGUGUUGAGAAAAAGGACGGCGAUGCGAAGGGAAGAUGAUAGGGGAUUACUCGACAAGUAUGCGGAGGUGUUGUAAAGUUCCCUCCUUUAUGUAUAGUUAUUUCAUUAUCCAUCUAAAUAUCAAUUACAUGUAUAUGUAUGAAACUCAUUUUGCGCUGCUAAAUUUUCUGUAAAGAUUUAAAAUUAUGUGGUAUUAAACUUAUAGUGAUUGAAACAAAUGCAAAACUUGCAUGUUGAUUCAUCAUUUUUAUACUUUUGGUUUCAGCGGAUAGAUAUGAGAGGUUUAGCACUACUUCUUACUUAUAGAUCCAAAUGUGUUAUGGUCACCAGGGGCGAAAUUAGGUAUAGGGCAACUAGGGCUAUAGCCCUAGGCGUGGCCGAACUAACAUCUAUAGCCCAGUAGUAUACUUUUCAGAAUUUUUCACUUAUAGGAAGCCCAGCCCCUGGCGUGUAGGCCCCAAGCUCUGGCCCAUAAGUUUCUCCAUGACUCCACCACUCGCGUACUAGAUUUCUACCUCAUUAUGGUUGCAAACCCAACCCCAUUGCUACAGAAAAUAAAGCAAUGUUUUCAGAAUCGUUCGUCAUCUCGCGAGAUUAUUUUGUUCUGAUAGCUAAUUGCCUUUAUGUGAUUUAUGUGAAUUUCUUUGUAUGGAUUAGUUGAUAUGGUCAGUGGACAAACCGUUUGAGUUGCAAAAUCGUUUGAAAUUUGAAAUCUGCGGGUUGUAUAGAUACAACCGGAUAUGAUGUGUAUCAUGCAUAGCUGUCUUAGUUUUUUCUGUUAGCAUUAAUUAAUAUGUACUUAUUUUUUGCAGAAUUUUUUAUUAUAUUUUAUCUUCAGAUGAUGAGCAUAAUAAUGGAGAUGGUGCAUAUGAGGAUUUUUCUCUCCCGCUACAACAUAGUUUAUAUUCUGGGGUGCGGCAGUUCCGUUCGGUUGGCGGCGACUGCAAUGUAGUUAUCAGCAUGCUCUUUAUGUUACUGGAAACAUCAUUCUUGAUUAUUUCUCCUUGUGUUAUUGGUCACCAUCAUUGUUGAUUAUUUCCCCUUCUGUUCCGUUAUCCAAUAGAUAUUCUAUUAGUACAUGUAUAUUUGGGUGACAAAGGAGCAUGCCAUCCCUGAUUAAACCCCAAAUUGGCAAGAUAAGACGUUUAUAUCUGAAUCUUGUUUCAUAGAAUUAAUCAUUUGUUUAGUUUGAGAGAUUAAAUCCAAAUAAGUUUAUG